UGACUUAAGUGCCUUUGAGGCGCAAAGGUUUGUCUCGUCCACCUUUUUUUGGUCACCCAAGCCCUUGAGGACCGUGAACGAUCUGAAACAAAAGACACGGUAGCGGUUCCAUCCCGAUUUUCGCUUGUGUUGCAUGCUGUGCGGGGUCCGUGAGUUUUACUGUGACUAAUAAAGUGUGACCAAAGCAGUCAUUCGACUUGAAUUAGAAAGCAUGGGAAAACAAAGGAGCAGCCUAUGGGCCACCGUUUCGUACUCUGUUGGAUUUAAAAGUCCAUUGGAGAUUAUGGCGUCAUGUGACCAGCGUCUGGGU
RNAcentral lists this ribosomal RNA (310 nucleotides) under Trypanosoma theileri. RNAcentral's name for it is "SSU rRNA". The record is from RNAcentral. Lineage: Eukaryota; Euglenozoa; Kinetoplastea; Trypanosomatida; Trypanosomatidae.